GAAAACAGCUUUAAUACCAAAUGUCAUCAGGUUAACUUUGGUGGUCUUGAGUCUGAUUCCUCUGCUUCUUUUGAUUGUGUGGAUGAGGAAGAAGAUGUCCUCUAGCCAUGAAGUUGAAUCAAAUGAAGUGGUGGAGAUGAUAGAGAUGCAGUGAAAUCACAGACUGGACUGACCUGAUGGAAACAGAAAGUAGUGACAGCAAAACAUCACAGUGGAAAAUGAUGCUGCGCAGGAAGUGAUGGAACUGGAUACAUUUUGCUCGGAUUUAUUAUUUUUAUUGCUUCUAUUAAACAUACUGCUGGCUUAAUGCUGAUUUACACAUGGCAUUAUGUGCUAAAUAAAAGAGUUGUGUUGACCUGUGUAAGACGGGAGGGUCUCAAACUUUAUCUCACACUAUGUGAAAUGGGAAGAAACAAAGUUGAAUAGUAGCAGGUCAAACAGAGGACAAAGCACACCAGCUUACACUCAAGACACAUCAGACACAUGAACACACACUGCAGACACACACACUCUCAUGGACACUCGCUGCAUGCUCACACAUACCAGCUACUACUGAUUGAAGGAUGCACUUGUUUUGAAGCUCAUGUAAAAGAACAUAAAACUGAUAAAGUGCAAAUGAUUGGAGGCAUGCGUCACCCAAAGCAAUGGGAGCACUGUCAUACAACUUUAACAGGAAGACCAUAAGUAACGACAUAAGACUGUAUCCUUAGGCUAUGACUACUAAUGAAGACACAAAGACACAAACACAUCUAUCAGUCAUUGUAGGGAGGGAUUCCUUUCUCUUUCAGGUUAUCAGAAACUGAUGAUUCAUUGGAGGAUUGUAUGGUGACAAGAUGUGGACAAGCCUGUCCACCAACGAGAGAGAGCCAAGUCUAAACCACGGCUCUUCUCCACCAGUUUGACCAAUGAGAUUGUAGCACAUUUCAUAAAUAUACUCUGUAUACUGAAUACUGCAUCCAUUACUGGGAAGACGCCUUCAGAUUAACACCUUUGUUAAUUCUAGUCCUCUGAAGUGUAAUUGUUGAUAUCAAGCUACUUGGCAUUGCAGAAUAAACAGCUUUAACUGAGAGAAGUUGCCUGUCUGCUGUCUCAAAAACACACUCAACACUGUGAAAUGUUUUAAUGUUCGGUUUUCAGUAGCAACAGCAUACAGUAGAACAUCUGACUAGAAUUCAAGCUUUUUUGAGCUGUACAGAUAAUGUUUAGGAUGAAAAUAAGAUGUGACCUUUAAUCCACUGGACUGAAUACUGAGCAGACAGGUAGAACUAAAGCAAAAUAUUUCACAACAUGUACAGUUUCUAUUUUAACACACUGAAAUCAAACAUUGGUACUUUGUAACAGAUUUAAAUCGUUGCAGUUGAAGCUUGAAAAAACAUCCAGCUACCUCCUGUUUUCAUAUUUCCGUUCUCUCUCACUGCUGUAGUGGAAAAGCACUCCAAAUGCAGUACUCCACCAAGGCUGUUCAUUCCGACAGUUGGCAUUGUCAGAAAUGGAGCAUUUUUUGUAGACAAGCAGCAUUUGUUUAUUAGUGUCAGGCUGGCUGCUGCCAGGCCUAGAUAGUAGAGUCCCUAUAUUAUCAGAGUAGCGACAACUGGGGAUUUGAAGCCAUUUUGUUUCCAUUCACUCAAUAUGGGACG
Molecule: long non-coding RNA, 1637 nt
Organism: Acanthochromis polyacanthus (spiny chromis)
Lineage: Eukaryota; Metazoa; Chordata; Actinopteri; Pomacentridae
Exons: 3
Source: RefSeq, a predicted model, not a curated record